UCUCUUUUGUCCCCAUUCAUCCCAGAAAGAACACACUCAUUUCCUCUCUAUGAAAUCCUAGCCCUGCAACCCUUCACACCUCAUCAAUCAAUAAAAACUCACCAUUAGCCAAGUUGACACAAAGUAAGAACAGCAAUCAGACCAUUGACCUGAGAACCACAAUUAUAAAAUCUCAUGAAUACAAAGAGCCUCAUCGGUGAUAAGAAACACAAUCCAACCUAACUCAUUAACCUGCCAAUUCACCAGCCACCCAAACAGUCAAACACUUCAGUCCAUAUCAACAGGUUCAAAACACUGAAUUAAACUUUCUUAUAACCUGGAAACACUAAAACCACCAUCACAAAUUGAACUAGAAACCAUAGAUGGUCUAGUAGUUUAACCGUUCGUAAGGCCGUCACAUUCAUCCGCUUGCGCCACCUACAGAUUUGAUCUCUGGUAUGCAUCAACAAAGAUACAACAAAACUACUAGAGAUUCUAUCUCCAGCAUAAUAAAAGGAAGAACCACUUAGCAUCCAAUGAUUCCGAUAGCAGCUUGCGUCUGCCUCUACUGCAUCUGUAACCACCUGGUCAUCACAUAAGAUUCACAUCAACAUAGAAAAGGCCAAAUGCCUCCAUAAUUACAAAGCAUCUACCUGUUCCCAGAACCAUCAAAGCAAAAAAGUGCAACAGCAUUUUCAAGUAUUGGAAUGAGAAUAAAUAGCAACGACAAGGUAAACAUGACAAAAUAAAAUAUAAAUUUAAUAGAAAAGGUCAAGAAAGAGGAUGUCUUCAUUGUUCCAGUUUGCGACAGCUAGGAAAAGAGGGAACAAAUAAUAGGACUUCAUAAAUAACCAAGCAAAACCCGACAUUACAGGACAGAAACAGACAGGCCAGCUUCACAGAACCAUGGAUGAAUAGCAUAAUGAACAUGACCAUCCAUGAGAGACAAAAGAAGAGAGAGCAACAGAGUUGUCCCUGUUUGUUUCAUAACUAUAGCUAUCCAGAUAUACUACCUGCAUAAGAGGGAAUGGGAUGACAUUUUACUGCUUAUCUGCCAUGCAAUUUCCUCAUAUUUUUUUUGUCAUCUUGAGAGGUCACUUGGCCAUCAUGACUUUGACAAACUCCUCAUAGUUGAUCUGGCCAUCACCAUCAACAUCAGCCUCACGAAUCAUUUCAUCAACUUCCUCAUCUGUUAGCUUUUCACCAAGGUUGGUCAUGACAUGGCGGAGCUCAGCAGCUGAGAUGAAGCCAUUUUGGUCCUUGUCAAACACUCGGAAGGCCUCCUUGAGUUCUUCCUCUGAGUCGGUAUCCUUCAUUUUGCGGGCCAUCAGGUUAAGGAAUUCUGGAAAGUCAAUAGUCCCAUUGCCAUCAGCAUCCACCUCAUUUAUCAUGUCCUGCAACUCUGCCUCAGUUGGAUUCUGCCCCAGUGACCGCAUCACAGUUCCCAGCUCCUUAGUCGUGAUGCAACCUGUUGAAAUUCCACCAAAACAAGCUGCACUUUAAUAUUUUAUUUCCCCUAUAAAUUUUGACACAUUGCAGAUACAGCAACUGCUAGCCUUCUAUUGCUUAUUACCAUCUAUUACAACAUUCAAAUAAGAAAUAAAAAUAAAAAAUAAAGACUACCACCUUUUGUUCUAUUUCCAAAGCAAUCCAUAACAAUUUGGGGUUGGAAAAUUCCAUACCAUAUUAACAUCUUAAAAUGAUUGCAAAUUAGCACACAUAAAACAUAGUGACAAAAUGUUUAAAAAAUAACAAAUCCACAGAUACAUCUUUCAGCAUGAACAGGUCACAUGAUGGAACAGCAAAAAUUCACAUCCAAUACCAGCAAGUGAUGAGUAUCAUAAUCCUUCACAAAGGAAACUAGCUUCUGUUUCAUAGGCCUACUGAAACGCUUCAAGAAAGGUUCUUCUAUUAUAAUGCAGCACACAGAAAGAUGAAUACUUGAGGUAAACUAGAUUUCUAGAAAAAACAUGAACAUGUGCUGAAGAAUGUUGAGAACUCUAACAAGGGAUUCCCCAUAUCAGUUGAAGAAUUGCAGGGACCCUGACUGCAAAUUAAACCAUUCAUCACUUACAGCUAAACUAUGACUCAAUUCAAUUAACUAUUAUGGCCUAGCUAGGUGAUUGCUGUACUAAGGAUCUGUGAUUCCAUCAAUUUAACUAUUUUGGCAUAACGGCUUAGAAAUAACAGGUAAAGAAUGAUAAACUUGGCAUCCAAAUAGUCCCAAUAUACGAACAAAAAAAUUGCUUCUCAAUUUGCAAUUAAAUCUAUUAAACCAUGCAAACACCCCAAGGCAUGAAUGCCUAACUACAUCCAGUCCUAAAUAAUUAGCUUCACUACAAAAAGAUACUUUCCCACACGAGCCAAUCACUAUUCAAAAUGACCCACACCCUCAGGGGCUGUUUGAAUGAUUAGACUGAAAAUCCUAUUAGAUUCAUGGGGUUGGGCCAGUACAACCAGCAACAUCAUAGGAUUACAAGAUGGGCUAGGCCUAUAAUCAUAGACACCCAGAAAUAGUUUUGGAGUGGGCCUGAAUCCUAUAUUCAUAGGAUUGGGCUGAGGUCCUUGUUAUCUCCCAGUGAGAUUCAGGCCAGCCCACUUCAAAAUUAUUUCCAGAUAUCUAUGAAUAUAGGCCUAGCCCAGCUUGUCAUCCUAUGAUCUUGCUAGUUGUACUGGUCCAACCCACAAAUCCAAUAGGAUUUUCAGCCCAAUCAUCCAAACAAGCCCUUAGGCAUCCAAAAGUCCAAUAAAGCACAAUGAGAAGUGAGAUAAAAAGGAGUUCUUUGAUCACUCAAUAGCUAACAUGCAUGCAUGAUCAAUGUGCCAACUCCAACAUCUAACAUAUGGGAAAUAGGCCACUUAUUUCUAAGUAAUUAACAUCAACUACAAAUGAAUAGCCAAAUUGAUUUAAAGACUUCAGGUAGUUCUUCUCGAAAUAUAUACCUUAAUUGGCCUUUUCCAAGCAUGAAAGCCAUCAAACAUGUAAAGCUACAAACGAUUCACAACCAAGCAGUAAAUGCUGUGCUUCUGCCAACAAACACUGGACACAGAUAUAGCUAGAUCAAAAAAAGUUUGAAACUUUUGCCAGGGAGCCAAAAAAAGGCUUCCAGUGAGAAUUUCCAUUAGGUAAAGCUGUCUUUGUCAAACUUUUUAUGAAUUUUAUGUAAUAUCAAGUAGAAAUUGUCAUGGAUUAUGAAAUCUAGAACAAUAUCAUCCUAGCAAUCUUACAGUACCUCAGCAAUCAGCUAACACUCAUGAUAGAUUUGGUACAACAGAGAACUUUCUAGUCAUGAAUCACCUCUUCUACCACAAGCCCAGGUUAUCCUACACCAAUCAUCUAGUGUUUGAGCAACAUCCAGUAGCUGUAUAAAGGUAUAUUGGAAAAACUAAAUGUUUCCCAUCCACUGAUCCCAGAUGCACACUCUACAUCUAACAUUUUGUUACAUUUUAUAUCAUACUGCAUUCACAUAGAACAGCAUCAGUUGGUCUACAAUUUUCUGCUUGAUCUUUAAGCCUGCAAAGAUGCUCAAAAAUCAAAUAUAAAGCUACCUUCUCAUUAAAUGGAGGGAACAAGUCCGGUUAGGAUUGGUCCAUAUUGCUUUAGAACUAAGAUUCCCAAUUGGUUAUCAUGAUUAUUAAAUGUGAACAAUGCACGUGCCUACUCAAACCUUAUUCAGAAAAGCAUUUACUUGUCAAAAUAUUUGCAACAGUUCCUUGCUUUUCUUCCCUGACAGGGUUAAAACUAUACAACUGUCAGAGCCCUACUCAUCAACCCUAUGGCUUCAAGGCAGAAAGUUGUUGCAACACGUAUAUUAUUCUACCUGAAACUCCCAUAAAUUUCUUGCAUUUGACAGACCAGAUAAAAGCACUGAUUUGCAACAAUUUUGAAUAAUCAAUAAAUGCAUAAGCAGAAUUAGUUCAUCUUUCAUUAUAAAGAAAUUCAACCAAAAAAAACCUACGGGAAGGGUUUUGGGAAAAAGCAGCAUUCUGAAAACUUUUUGACAUUUCAAGAAUGUGUGCAUUUCAAAAUAUCCAACUUUUAUAUUAAGCACUAGGCUAAACAAGUUUGCUGCACCUGACUCAUCUCCUGCUGUUUCCUAUUAAACUUAAUUCUCAUCCAGUUAUUCAGUGUUCUUCUGAAGUAGAGAGAACAAAAAUGGCAACUGCAGUGAAACUAACACACACAGAGAGAGAGAGAGAGAGAGAGAGCUGCUAUGAGGACUAGCAGCUAAGAAAUGUGAUCAACUCACUGAUAACAGCUUGUAAUGCAUGCACAUCCAUGCUGGCAUUAGACCAACAAGAGCAUCUGAUUUCUUACUUCUUAAUAUUAAAUAGCAAGGUGUUGAAAAUUCCACAAGACAACAUGUUAGCAAAUCUAAGAUGGCCAGUCCCUCAAAUGUUCAUUAGUAGAAUGACUGAACAUAUGCACAUGACAAAAAAAAAAGAUCGACAGGAGGAUCCAUUUUCUGAUAAAAAUGUGAUGUAUAUUCAAGUCUUAACUUUGGCAAAUAUUAGAAAACCAGUUCAUGCCUGGAUUUGUUAACGCAUAAUUCAGAAAGUAGUGCCAGUGAAUGAGUCCAUCAAUGACCAUCAAUUGGUCAGUUUUUUCCCUUUUUUUUGUCAAUGUCUGCCUUUAUUUUGUUUUCACUUUUUGCAAUUACAAAGUAAAUGGAUAACUCAUAUAGUGAGGACAAUCAUGCAUCUAGAAUUGCCAUCUAAACUCAUCCCAUUUCAUUAGAUCCAAGACAUUUCCAAAGGAUGAAGCGGAUAUGUACACUUCCAAUAGGAUAUCAUUCUUCAACAAGAAUCCAUACUUGGGAAUUUUCUCUCAUCUAUUCAAGACUAGACCCAAUUUUUAUCUAAAUGGGUUGAGUUCGAGCUAAACCUUUAAUCUUACUUGAGGUUAGCUCUAAGUCUGACCAGAUCUAAAUAUUUCAUUCUAAAUAGGUUUAGACCACUAAAAUAUUUCAUCUUCACAUGACACAAAAGAAGGGGAAACUCUCCAGCAUAUGAUUGUCAAAAGUCAAAUAAAUCAGUUGCUUAAUAUAGCUCAUGAAUAAUGUUGAACACCAAAAAAAAAUUAUCAAAUAAAUCAGACAUUGGAGGCCUCUCCAAACUCUUUCCAAAAGGAGAGAGACAAACAAUGAGACCAAAGUAUUGGAUUCAUAACAUCAUGCAUUGGGACACUGAAUGAUUUCACAAGGUGACAUGCUGGACAACAAAACUAAGAUAGCCAAACUCCUUGCAGAAUGAACACACAACAGCAUCAUAAACCUUAACAUAAUACAUUCUCUACAAAGAAUGUUGCUAUGUGGGAAUUCAUUGAUAUCUACUUACAGAUAUGUUUACUUUUCUAGUUUUCUGUUUUUGUAUACUACUCGUACUGGUUUAGUUCAUUGAUGCAUUAAGUCAACCCAAUCUAAAGUAAAUUAUAAUCAUGACAUGCCAUAUCAGUCUCCUUGACUAGUUAACAAAUCAUAACUACCAAAUUUCUAUGUAAUAAAAUAUUCCAAACCAAGGUUGGCCAUCGCGAUACUAGGUCCCAUAUUGGCACCGUGUUGGUAUAGUGUGAGUACACCCAGUAAAGAGUCAGUUCAACAUACCUAGGCUCAACAUGGCCCUGUAUUGAGUCUUGGUUAGGUACCAACAUGGCACAGUGCAUCCGAUAUGGGACAAACCAGUAUGAUGAACCUGAUUCCAAACUAUCAAUAAAAUAAAAAUGAUCUUUAGAACAUAAGAUAGCUCCCCACUGAAAAAAAAAAAAAAAGAUUGAAGUAGCAACCAUCAACAACUAAACUAACUCACUAUUGCUCCUAACAGAAGGUUGGACUUGUAAACUAGAAACUUACACAAGCCUAACUUUUACAUUAUUUGAGCCCAAUCCGACCAAUUAUUUGAUGGAUUGAGUUUGAGCUCAAACCCAAUCUACUUAGAUCUAGAUCUAGAUUCUAAUCAAAGUUAGAUUCAUCGAGAUCACUCUAUCCAAUUUUUCCAUCCAUGGGGUGCAAGAUUUCUUCACCAUCAGCAAGAAUCCACAAAUAAAUGGUCCCUUCAACAGAAUUUCAGUCACAACUUCAUGUUGAAUAUAAUCCAUGUCUUUGGCCUCAAGGGUUCUUGUUAUGUGAAAUUAAUAAGAGGCAUUUAAGAUCCCCAAAAUUAUCAUAAGUGAUUUAAAAACAAUAAAAGAAAAAAAAGCAAUAUACAUGGAGAUAUUUCGCUUUACUUGUUUCCCUCCUUUAGAAACUGAAAGAAAUGUUUUAAUUAGUAUGCCAUUCCACCUCCAUAAAUGAACCCCCACACAUCAAGCCUUCAAUGUAUGGAUGGAUCCAACUAAGUGACAAAUUUUUGCAUCAAGCAUUCCUCAUUCCCCUUGUCUAGUGCAGUGAUGUCAAAGGCGCCAAAAGGCACGCCUCAGAUGCUCAGGCGAGGCGCACGAAGGGGUCAUCGCCCCUUGAUGCUUCAAGCGAUGCCCCCUCAUUCAUGCACACGCCUUUGGUAUCUUGUAGGACCUUUAUCAGUGAGACGAGACACUUGUCUUUGGCACCUCAGUAACACUAUGAUUAUUUUUUUUUUAAUGGCUGAAAAGUAUAAAAAAUCCAAAAGACCACCCAUUUAACUUCUCAGCUCUAUUACUCAGCUCUAUUACUAACAGGGGAUAAAAUGAUCAAUUAGUAUGGCAAAGUUAGUCUUGAAGAGAUAGAGACUGAUUCAAAUGAGACAGAAGAAGAUGUUGAAGGAUAUCAAUCCACUGAAAGAGGAGAAGAUGAAAGUGAUGACAACUAUGUAAGUAGAACUGAAUCUGAUGAUUCCAUUGAUGAACUUCAGGCUUUAGGGUUGUUUAUCAUUUUUGUUUCAUUUAUAUGAUUCACUUUAAAACUGUUUACGUUUCUUGUUUUAUUUAUGAGACCCAUUGAUGAACUUUAGGAUUUGUUAUAUUUUUCAUUUCAUUCAUGAAUUUAGAGCUGCCUAUAGCUUGUUAUCAUAUACUUUAUCUGGAACUAGUUAAGCAUUUUACUGAUUUAUUUAUGUUUUAUGCUUAAAUUAUUGAUUAUGUGAUAAUUCAGAUUAUAAUAGUUCUCUAGUUGUUAUUUAUUUAUAUAUCAUAUUUUUUACUUUUUUUUUUAAGUUUAGUGCCUUACUUCACUCGGACGAGCGCUUUUCUAGCACCUCUCGCCUCAAGACGCUAGACCCCCCAAGUGCCUUAAGGACGCCUUUCGUCUUUGACUACCUUGGUCUAGUGUAUCCAAUAACAACAUCCAUAGAAGUAUCUAAGGUGGUGGCAAAGUUUACAAGUUUCGAUACAAGACAUAUUGAAGGAGUAAUCUUUGGAUGCCCCCACCCAUAGCAUCUCAAGAUUCUUUUUGCCAACAUGACAAUAGAGGAUUGGCAUAGUUCCCAAGGUUUGGCAUCAAUCGUAAGUGGACCAACAAAUCACGUCCCUGCAACACCACAUUAGCACUGCGAGAUAAGAAAAAAUACGAGCAGGAUGUCAUAGCUAUUUCCCUCAAAAUUAGAAACUCGGGCUAAAUCAAGAGGAAACAAUUCAAUGAUUAACCAACCAUUAUGCCAAAAAAGGGCAAUGUUAUCAUGAACAAGGUGGUAUUUAGAAGGAUCCCCAAUCUUUAGGAUCUAAAUCUCCACCAAUCAACACAAUAUCAAUGCUCCAAGCAAGCAAUAUGAUCACUACUAAAACAUGUUGUUGAUGCCCAAUACCCGAAGUGUUGGAGUUAGGCUAUUUGGUAAAUGAAGAUUCGUUGGCUCAGACGAAGCUAGUAUGCUUAGCAUGAGGUCCAACCUACAAACAAAAGGAACCAUCAAAGAUUGUUGGAAUUACUCCGACAAGAGAUGCUUCGAUGCUUAAGUCAUGCAAAAUUUUGGUGGAACUAAGGAUAUCUAAAAGUAUGAGGAAUGAGCUAAAAGCAAGGUGAAAUUCCUUUACCUAGGAUCCCAAGCUUGAUUUUUCUAUAGAGGAGAGUAAGAGUUUGCUGCAAUUGGUCACAUGAUCUUCCAAGCCGUUACACCCCUUCCUUAUUUGUCGUCCUAGGUAGUUGUGUUCUUCCUUACCUGGCGUCUCAAGGUCAUGUCGAGCUGUUACCACCUACGCUAUUAGCCUAGAGGUUCGCUUGGUCAUGGAUUGCGUGCACCAUGUAUUGCUCAGCCAUUGGUCGAUCGAGUUGGUAGGUGCAAUUUCUUGUCCAAGCCAGAGAACAUGGCUCGAGAUUGGAAGUGGGAGACAAAUGAUAUGGCCCAAAUUCAACGUCAACUAAAUCGCACCUACUAGCUCAAACGUGGUGCAUGCAAUCAACUACAGAGCGAACCUUCAAGUGAAUAAGGUGGACAAGGGUGUAACAGCACAUUCGGAGAUCACACGACUAGAUCACGACAGACUCUUACCCUCUUCUAUAAACCAAGCUUGGGAAUCGAAUUUCACCUCAUUUUUAGUUCAUUCCUCUCUUUUGUUCCACCAAAAUUCUUCCUAACUUAAGCAUUGAAGGGCCUCCUACCACAGCAACUCCAGCAACCUUCGAUAGCCUCUUUGGUUCUUAAGUCAAACCUCACACCGAGCAAACCAGCUUCAUCUAGGCCAACCAAUCUUCAUUUGCCAAAUAGCCUAACUCCAUUAGGUUUGGUUUUGUACAGCAACAUAUGUAUCAUCAUGUCACUGCUUUACCCUGGAG
Molecule: long non-coding RNA, 8657 nt
Filed under: Elaeis guineensis (African oil palm)
Lineage: Eukaryota; Viridiplantae; Streptophyta; Magnoliopsida; Arecales; Arecaceae
Description: long non-coding RNA (EGUI_LNC027857)
Source: RNAcentral